AGUGAACGCUGGCGGUAGGCCUAAUACAUGCAAGUCGAACGGCAGCACAGUAAGAGCUUGCUCUUACGGGUGGCGAGUGGCGGACGGGUGAGGAAUACAUCGGAAUCUACUUUUUCGUGGGGGAUAACGUAGGGAAACUUACGCUAAUACCGCAUACGACCUACGGGUGAAAGCAGGGGAUCUUCGGACCUUGCGCGAUUGAAUGAGCCGAUGUCGGAUUAGCUAGUUGGCGGGGUAAAGGUCCACCAAGGCGACGAUCCGUAGCUGGUCUGAGAGGAUGAUCAGCCACACUGGAACUGAGACACGGUCCAGACUCCUACGGGAGGCAGCAGUGGGGAAUAUUGGACAAUGGGCGCAAGCCUGAUCUAGCCAUACCGCGUGGGUGAAGAAGGCCUUCGGGUUGUAAAGCCCUUUUGUUGGGAAAGAAAAGCAGCAGGUUAAUACCCCGCUGUUCUGACGGUACCCAAAGAAUAAGCACCGGCUAACUUCGUG
This 492-nucleotide ribosomal RNA is filed under the name uncultured bacterium. RNAcentral's name for it is "partial 16S ribosomal RNA". It matches the Rfam family "Bacterial small subunit ribosomal RNA", at positions 29 to 507 of the family's 1533-position model. The record is from RNAcentral.